Molecule: ribosomal RNA, 437 nt
Filed under: uncultured bacterium
Lineage: Bacteria
Description: partial 16S ribosomal RNA
Rfam family: Bacterial small subunit ribosomal RNA
Source: RNAcentral
AGCGAACGCUGGCGGCAGGCUUAACACAUGCAAGUCGAGCGGCCGCCCAUGUGGUGUUUGCUGCAGACGGGGGCGUGACGCGGGGGAGCGUGCCAUUCGGUUGGAACUAACUCAGCGAGGCUUGAGCUGAUAGCGGAUACGCGCGAAUACAGCAAAGUUCCUCUGGCGAAGAACCGGCGAGCGUCGGAUUCGGUAGGUGGGAAUGUUAUGGCUCACCAAGGCGACGAUCACUAGAUGGUCUGAGAGGAUGAUCAGCCACACUAGGACUGAGCCACGGCGCAGACUACUACGGGAGGCAGCAGUGGGGAAUAUUGGACAAUGGGGGCAAUGCUGAUCCAGCCAUGCCGCGUGAGUGAUGACGGCCUUAGGGUUGUAAAGCUCUUUUCUUCGGGACGAUAAUGACGGUACCGGAGGAAUAAGCCCCGGCUAACUUCGUG